RNAcentral lists this long non-coding RNA (797 nucleotides) under Marmota monax (woodchuck). The record is from RNAcentral. Lineage: Eukaryota; Metazoa; Chordata; Mammalia; Rodentia; Sciuridae.
AUUUAUGUACUUUUUUGUUUUUAUUUUUUGCAGUGCUGGGGAUGGAACCAGGGCCUCACACAUGCAAUGUGAGCACUCUAUUACUUAGCAACAAUCCAGCCUCAUACACAAGUUUUUGUGCAGACAUAUAUUUCCAUUUCUCUUGGGAAUAUGUCUAGGAAUGAAAUUACUGGGUGUUAAGGUAACUCUAUAUUUAAGUAUUUGAACAACUGUCAAACUGUUUUCCAGAAGUGUUGCUCCAUCUUAAAUUCUCAGAAUCAGCCUUGUGUAAGGGUUACAUUUUUCCAUGUCCUUGCCAAUACUUUUUUUUUUAAUAUAUUUUUUUUAAUUUUUCUUAGUUUUCGGCAGACACAACACCUUUAUUUGUAUGUGGUGCUGAGGAUCGAACCCAGGCCGCACGCAUGCCAGGCGAGCGCGCUACUGCUUGAGCCACAUCCCCAGCCCCAAUACUUUUAAUUAAAAACAAAAUAGACACAAAGAGUAUAUUAUCUUUAUUGUAGUCAGUGUACAUGAAAUGGUAUCUUAUUGUGGCUUUAAUUUCCAUUUUCCUGAUGGUUAAUGAUAUUGAGAAUCUUUUCAUGUGAUUAUUGAUCUUUUUUGUAUCUACUUUGGAGAAAUGUCUAUUCAUUUCCUCUUUGCCCAAUUUAAAGUUGAUUUUCUUUUAUAUUUGUCAAAGUUAUUUAUAUGUUCUGGAUAAAAGUUCUGUAUCAGAUAUUAAAUAUUAUGCAAAUAUUUUCUCUCAUCCUAUGUGGUGCUCUCCAGUUUCUCAAUAGUGUCCUUUGAAGCAUAAGAGUAUU